RNAcentral lists this ribosomal RNA (430 nucleotides) under Bacillota bacterium. Its description in RNAcentral is "Firmicutes bacterium partial 16S ribosomal RNA". It matches the Rfam family "Bacterial small subunit ribosomal RNA", at positions 355 to 776 of the family's 1533-position model. Lineage: Bacteria; Bacillati; Bacillota. The record is from RNAcentral.
UGGGGAAUUUUGGACAAUGGGGGGAACCCUGAUCCAGCCAUGCCGCGUGUGUGAAGAAGGCCUUAUGGUUGUAAAGCACUUUAAGCGAGGAGGAGGCUCUCUUGGUUAAUACCCAAGAAGAGUGGACGUUACUCGCAGAAUAAGCACCGGCUAACUCUGUGCCAGCAGCCGCGGUAAUACAGAGGGUGCGAGCGUUAAUCGGAUUUACUGGGCGUAAAGCGUGCGUAGGCGGCUUUUUAAGUCGGAUGUGAAAUCCCCGAGCUUAACUUGGGAAUUGCAUUCGAUACUGAGAAGCUAGAGUAUGGGAGAGGAUGGUAGAAUUCCAGGUGUAGCGGUGAAAUGCGUAGAGAUCUGGAGGAAUACCGAUGGCGAAGGCAGCCAUCUGGCCUAAUACUGACGCUGAUGUACGAAAGCAUGGGGAGCAAACAGG